This 488-nucleotide ribosomal RNA is filed under the name uncultured bacterium. RNAcentral describes it as "partial 16S ribosomal RNA". It matches the Rfam family "Bacterial small subunit ribosomal RNA", at positions 29 to 523 of the family's 1533-position model. The record is from RNAcentral.
AAUGAACGUUGGCGGCGUGGAUUAGGCAUGCAAGUCGAGCGCGAUCAGUUUGGUGCUUGCAUUAAACUGUGAAAGCGGCGAAAGGGAGAGUAACGCGUAGUUACCUACCUCAGGGUUCAGAAUAGCCACGGGAAACUGUGGGUAAUGCUGAAUAACAUCUCCGGAUCAAAGGUGUGAUUCCGCCCUGAGAGGGGACUGCGUCCUACUAGCUUGUUGGUGGGGUAAUGGCCUACCAAGGCGUUGAUGGGUAGCGGGUGUGAGAGCAUGACCCGUCUCACUGGGACUGAGACACUGCCCAGACACCUACGGGUGGCUGCAGUCGAGAAUCUUCGGCAAUGCGCGAAAGCGUGACCGUGCGACGCCGCGUGCGGGAUGAAGGCCCUCGGGUUGUAAACCGCUGUCGUAGGGGAGGAAGGCUCCACGAAGAAUGGGGUUUGGCCUAUCCUAGGAGGAAGGACGGGCUAAGUUCGUGCCAGCCGCCGCGGUAA